Hordeum vulgare subsp. vulgare (domesticated barley) is the source of this 124-nucleotide non-coding RNA. The record is from Rfam. Lineage: Eukaryota; Viridiplantae; Streptophyta; Magnoliopsida; Poales; Poaceae.
AUUAUACUCCCUCCGUCCGAAAAUACUUGUCCUUAAAAUGAAUAUAAUGAAUGUAUCUACAACUAAAAUAAGUCUAGAUACAUUCAUCUGUAGGACAAGUAUUUUCGGACGGAGGGAGUAUCUA